GACGAACGCUGGCGGCGUGCCUAACACAUGCAAGUCGAACGGAAGUAAGAGCUUCGGUUUUUGCUUUAGUGGCGAACGGGUGAGUAACGCGCGAGCAACCUGCCCUUGUGUGGGGGAUACCGUCUGGAAACGGACGUUAAUACCGCAUAACGUAUGGGAACCGCAUGGUGCCCAUACCAAAGAUUUAUUGCGCAAGGAUGGGCUCGCGUCCCAUUAGAUAGUUGGUGAGGUAACGGCCCACCAAGUCAGCGAUGGGUAGCCGGACUGAGAGGUUGAACGGCCACAUUGGAACUGAGAUACGGUCCAG
RNAcentral lists this ribosomal RNA (307 nucleotides) under uncultured bacterium. RNAcentral describes it as "bacterial SSU rRNA". It matches the Rfam family "Bacterial small subunit ribosomal RNA", at positions 28 to 334 of the family's 1533-position model. The record is from RNAcentral.